AUUCGAAGGCGCAGGAACCUCCCUGGUUAAUCCAAGGGGAGGCGGACCCUCCUAAAGGAUUCCCGCCAAAUACGUACCCGCAACCGCCGUAAUAUAAGGGAGCCAUACAUACCGGAUUAUAUGGCGAAAAGACUCCGUUAGAGGACCUGACAGGUCCUCUUGGAAACCUGAGGAUCUCAACCUCCCGAGCGUACGAUGGGAAACCUCUCGGCUGAGUCCGAGAGGAGGAGCUCGAAUUCCUGGGGUAGCCGUGAAAUUAGCAGAUAUCCAGAAGGACACCCCGUGACGAAAGCGGCUUUUUGGGACCGGUACUGACGCUGAGAACGCGAAAGCGUGGGGAGCGAACAAGGAUUAGAUACCCUGGUAGUACCCGCCGUAAACGAUGGGCGCUAGGUGUGGGAGGUGUCGACUCCUCCCGUGCCGCAGCUAACGCAAUAAGCGCCCCGCCUGGGGAGUACGGCCGCCAAGGCUAAAACUCAAAAGGAAUUGACGGGGGCCCGCACAAGCAGCGGAGCAUGUGGUUUAAUUUGACGCAACGCGAAGAACCUUACCAGGGCUUGACAUGCUCGGGGAAGCCGGAGAAAUUCGGCCCUCCUUCGGGACUCGAGCACAGGUGGUGCAUGGCUGUCGUCAGCUCGUGUCGUGAGAUGUUGGGUUAAGUCCCGCAACGAGCGCAACCCCUGUCCUAUGUUGCCAGCGCGUAAUGGCGGGGACUCAUGGGAGACUGCCGGUGACAAAUCGGAGGAAGGUGGGGAUGACGUCAAGUCAUCAUGCCCCUUAUGUCCUGGGCUACACACGUGCUACAUUGGCCGGUACAAAGGGCUGCAAACCUGCGAGGGUGAGCGAAUCCCAAAAAGCCGGCCCCGGUUCGGAUUGGAGGCUGAAACUCGCCUCCAUGAAGGCGGAGUUGCUAGUAAUCGCGGAUCAGCAAUGCCGCGGUGAAUACGUUCCCGGGCCUUGUACACACCGCCCGUCACACCACGAAAGUCGGCAAUACCCGAAGCCGGUGGGCUAACCUCUUCGGAGGAGGCAGCCGUCGAAGGUAGGGUCGAUGAUUGGGGUGAAGUCGUAACAAGGUAACCG
RNAcentral lists this ribosomal RNA (1083 nucleotides) under uncultured bacterium. RNAcentral's name for it is "bacterial SSU rRNA". It matches the Rfam family "Bacterial small subunit ribosomal RNA", at positions 434 to 1502 of the family's 1533-position model. The record is from RNAcentral.